UACAGAGGGGGCAAGCGUUGUUCGGAAUUACUGGGCGUAAAGGGCGCGUAGGCGGCCUGUUAAGUCGGACGUGAAAUCCCUCGGCUCAACCGGGGAACUGCGUCCGAAACUGGCGGGCUUGAAUUCGGGAGAGGGAUGUGGAAUUCCAGGUGUAGCGGUGAAAUGCGUAGAUAUCUGGAGGAACACCGGUGGCGAAGGCGGUUCUCUGGGCAUGUCCUGACGCUGAGGAGCGAAAGUGUGGGGAGCGAACAGG
This 253-nucleotide ribosomal RNA is filed under the name uncultured bacterium. RNAcentral's name for it is "partial 16S ribosomal RNA". It matches the Rfam family "Bacterial small subunit ribosomal RNA", at positions 524 to 776 of the family's 1533-position model. The record is from RNAcentral.